GCGUGCAUAUGUACAUAAAAAUAUAUUUUUUAAUCAAAGUGUGGGCUCGGAUUAGAUUUUAGAUACGCCAUGAUUACGAAGUGGUUGCUCGAUUAAUCGGCCAUCCUAAAUCGUCUUGUCAAGAUGUGUAUCAUAAAACCUUUUGUGUUGUCGGUGUUAUAAAAAUUUUGUCAUUGCCCAUAUUUAUUUAUUUUUAUUACGUAUUUGUAUACGUAAUGUCCGUCUUUUAUUAGGGGAGACCUCGAAAAUCGACGGAGAAUUUCUUCAUCGACCAUUGUAUUGAUACUUGAUAUGAAUAGAUAAACUUGAGAAAAAUAAAGUCCAUCUUUGUAAUGGGGUGGCCUCAAGUAUCUGACGGAGAGAUAAUGCCAUUGUUCAUGUGUCUAUUUUUGAUAUAAAAUAAAUAACUUGAAAAGUAAAGAUCCGUCUUUUGUAUUGGGGUGGCCUCAAGUAUCCGACGGAUAGAUAAUAUCAUUGGCCAAAGUAUUUAUUUUGAGUAUAUGUAUGUGUUUUUGAGAAAAAAAAAAAGAUGAACAAAUUUUGUGUACGAUAAAAAUAUAUGUGUGGUGAAGAAUUUGUGUGUGUAGUGAAGAUGUGUGUGUUUGGGAGAGAAGAAAAAUAUGUGGGUAUGAUAAAUGUGUAUCUGUAUUUGUGAAUGUGUGUUUUAUUCGUGUAUUUUUAUGUGAGAAGAGUGAAAAAAUGUGCGUAUUAUAAUUUGGAAAAAAAGAAUCAAAUAUAUAAAAAGAAAAUUGAUUUUUUUAUAUUUUGAGAGAGGGGAGAAAGAAGAAUAAAAU
Molecule: long non-coding RNA, 794 nt
Filed under: Capsicum annuum
Lineage: Eukaryota; Viridiplantae; Streptophyta; Magnoliopsida; Solanales; Solanaceae
Description: long non-coding RNA (CANN_LNC006127)
Source: RNAcentral